Molecule: small nuclear RNA, 190 nt
Organism: Phyllostomus discolor (pale spear-nosed bat)
Lineage: Eukaryota; Metazoa; Chordata; Mammalia; Chiroptera; Phyllostomidae
Product: U2 spliceosomal RNA
Exons: 1
Source: RefSeq, a predicted model, not a curated record
AUCCCUUUUCUGCCUAUUGGCUAAAGUCAGAUGCGGUAUGUUCUUACCAAUUAAAGCAUCUGUUGCAUUUUCCAUUUGUGUACUGGGCACUAAAGUAAUGUUUGGAAUUAGGAGAUGGAUUGGGAGUUUGCUUUAUCUACUUACUGUUUCAACCUAUAAUAGCUUUACUUCCAGGAAUGGUGAAUUCCUU